RNAcentral lists this unclassified non-coding RNA (864 nucleotides) under Hevea brasiliensis (rubber tree). Lineage: Eukaryota; Viridiplantae; Streptophyta; Magnoliopsida; Malpighiales; Euphorbiaceae. The record is from RNAcentral.
ACCAGAGGACAGGGACUUAUUAAAAGAGGAGAAACGGAAAGAGAAAAAACAUAAAAAGGAAAAGGACAAGGAUAAGAAAGAUGGUAAAGAAAAAAGGGAUAAAGACAGAAGUGAUGGGAAACACAGAGAAAAGAAGGACAAAAAGGAUAAACACCGGGACAAGAAGGAAAAACACAAGGACAAAAAGGACAAGGAUAAGGAUAAAGAGAGAAGCGACCUCUCUGAAGAGGCAAAAGUUGCUGUUCCACCUGGGGCUUCUAGCGGACAGAAGCUUCCUAGUGGAGAUUACAAAAAUGAAAGCAUCAACUCGCAGGAAGCGAAAUUCCAUGAUCAGUCUCAUGGCCAGCUUGCAGAAAAGCUCUUUAAAUCCAGCCUCCCCGUUGUUGAGACGGAGGAGUCUAAAUAUGUGCAGGAUUUGGCUAGGAGGCUUAGAGAUGACCAGAAUGGCGCAGUCAGUCAGUUGGCUAAGAGAUUUCCAGUUGAGUCGAAAAGGGAUGCGAAGUCAAACAGUAUGUAUAUCAAGGAUUCGGGUAAUUUGGCUAGAGAAAAGGAAAAGAACAAGGAGAGAAAUGAUUUUAGCAACAAGAUGGAUGGACAACAACUCAGAGUUGAACCGAGAAUUGGUGCUAAUGCAAAACUUCCAAGCUUUUCAGAGAUGGAAAAGAGAAACUUUCAUGGAUUGCUACCACCAUUGGAAGAGAAUGUUGAGAACAGGAGAGAGGACAAAGAGAAAUCCAAAGGAAGACGAGAUGACAAACCAAGAGACAAGAAGAAAAAAGAAAAGGAUGGGAAAAGUCAUGGAAAGGAUAAAGAAAAGAAAAAGGAAGAGAAGGGGAAGGACAAAAGUGCACACAAGAAAAGUGA